GCGCAACCCUUAUCCUUUGUUGCCAGCGAUUCGGUCGGGAACUCAAAGGAGACUGCCGGUGAUAAACCGGAGGAAGGGGGGGAUGACGUCAAGUCAUCAUGGCCCUUACGAGUAGGGCUACACACGUGCUACAAUGGCGUAUACAAAGAGAAGCGACCUCCCGAGAGCAAGCGGACCUCAUAAAGUACGUCGUAGUCCGGAUUGGAGUCUGCAACUCGACUCCAUGAAGUCGGAAUCGCUAGUAAUCGUAG
RNAcentral lists this ribosomal RNA (251 nucleotides) under Pectobacterium carotovorum. Its description in RNAcentral is "partial 16S ribosomal RNA". It matches the Rfam family "Bacterial small subunit ribosomal RNA", at positions 1096 to 1347 of the family's 1533-position model. Lineage: Bacteria; Pseudomonadati; Pseudomonadota; Gammaproteobacteria; Enterobacterales; Pectobacteriaceae. The record is from RNAcentral.